Molecule: ribosomal RNA, 434 nt
Filed under: uncultured bacterium
Lineage: Bacteria
Description: partial 16S ribosomal RNA
Rfam family: Bacterial small subunit ribosomal RNA
Source: RNAcentral
AGCGAACGCUGGCGGCAGGCCUAACACAUGCAAGUCGAACGAACCUUUCGGGGUUAGUGGCGGACGGGUGAGGAACACGUGGGAACGUGCCCUUAGGUUCGGAAUAACUCAGGGAAACUUGUGCUAAUACCGAAUGUGCCCUUCGGGGGAAAGAUUAAUCGCCUUUAGAGCGGCCCGCGUCUGAUUAGCUGGUUGGUUGAGGUAAUGGCUCACCAAGGCGACGAUCAGUAGCUGGUCUGGGAGGAUGAUCAGCCACAUUGGGACUGAGACACGGCCCAAACUCCUACGGGAGGCAGCAGUGGGGAAUCUUGCGCAAUGGGCGAAAGCCUGACGCAGCCAUGCCGCGUGAAUGAUGAAGGUCUUAGGAUUGUAAAAUUCUUUCACCGGGGACGAUAAUGACGGUACCCGGAGAAGAAGCCCCGGCUAACUUCGUG